Long non-coding RNA from Gasterosteus aculeatus aculeatus (three-spined stickleback), 7757 nucleotides. NCBI's taxonomy places the organism in Eukaryota, Metazoa, Chordata, Actinopteri, Perciformes, Gasterosteidae. The record is from Ensembl.
CAGAACGCGGAGAACAGCGAGGCUGCAGAAGGAGACGACGAUGAACUUGAAGGCCAUGAAGCUUAGAGCGAAGAUGUUGAUUAAAUUGUACAUUGAAUUGUUUUCACCAACGUACAGGCUUCCUAUGUUUGCAAAGCACAGCAGCCAAACACAUCCGAUGGAGACGUUUCUGACUCUGAUCCACUUCUGGUUCUUCAGGCCCAGGUAGGUGACGGGGUGAACGACGGCCAGGUAGCGCUCCACACAGGUCAGAGUGUGAAACAGCUGCUGGCCCAAAAAGUUCACUGAUAAAAAGCAUACACCCACCGUGACCAUUCCUGUGAGACGGGUGAGGACGCCGCAACAGCAUAAAAGGUACCCUACGAUAUUCAUCAGCUCGAUGGCGACCAUGUGGAAGGUGAAGACGUCGGAGUGGCUCGCCGCCGUGCCGGAGCGCCGUUGUUUGAGUCCCAGGUAGACGACGUAGACGCAGGGAGGGAGGACCAGCAGGAGGCUGCAGACGGUGAAAGCGGUGAUGCUGGAGGCGCCGGCUGGACUUCUGUAGCACUUCUGCAGGAAUUCAAAGAUAUUGAUGGAGGAAGAGUUGGAAGGAGGAAACGAGGAAGAGGAGAUGACUGACAUGACUGGGGGCAAGAGGGAUGAGUAGAAUGAAUAAGAAGAAGAUGGGAGAGGGAAACAGUGAGAUCAUUUUAUGGUGACAGAGAAUGGCGACAAAACGCAUAUCAUAGUUGAACGCAUAUUCACAUUCAAAUCAAUGAAGCAGGGCGGUCAGAGCGUUGGUCAUUUCAGUGGGCGAACUUCUGUAAAAAAUAUACAGACUUACGCAAACUCGUGGACUACCUGACGAGAGGAUUUCCAGUAAAAGCAAAAAUUGCAUUAACGAUUGGAAUAUAAAACAUGAGAGCAUGAAAACAUGGCACAGAAACUAAAACCCACAAUCACACAUUUGUACCUGUGAUGCAUCUGACAAAAAUCUGUGCGACCUACUUCUUAGAAUACGUAUAAUAUCUGACAAGAACCGCAGAUGAUUAAUCCGGUCCUAUAAGUUUCAUAAUAGUAGUGAGCAGUGUUUUUAUUUACCUGCCAAAGGAACAUUGUUUGGCCGUUGGCUUUAUUUUUUUAUGUGAUGACAAAUAACAUUGAAUAAAAUACAAAGAUACUCACUUUGACGGCUGAUUUUAGAUCGCACACUUUCUGACCUUCUGUCCUUUGUGUGUCUGGACUUAUAACUGAUGUGAUGCUUUGCAGAAAAAACCCAACACAUUUGAAUCUGUGUGUGUGUGUUUUGCAUGUUUUAAAACCCGUAAGCAGAUCCAGAAUCAGCGCUUUGCUGUAAGACCUUUAUAAAAUGUCUGUUAUGUACCAUCUACUUUUACACUUGGAAUGUGUGAAUUAGUGUAGAAUUUGCUUAUUUUACACUCUAGCAACAAAAUCUCCAACUUAGAUACAUAAUGUAAAGUGAAGACAAAGAAUCUCCAGGUCUGCUGUUGCUUACAUUUACAUACAUUGAAUAAAAGACCCUCUAUAUUUUCUAAGAAACCUGUUUUCAUCAGACGCAGGUGAAAAACAGCAUUAAAACACAGAUGUUCAUUGUCAAUGUCUUCAUUAUGAGUAGUUCUGGUUGUGAGAAAUUUGCUUAUUCACCUCAUCUUUCACCAAGAUGUUGUUUGACAGGAUUCAAAUGAGCUGUGACUAAAAAUCCUUCAAUUAUUCAAAUCAAACACCGUCCGUCUCAGUGUGUCACUUGUUAUUUUAAGACCUAAACGAGCUACAAGAUCAACUUUGGUCCAGUAUUUUGCUAAUCACAGUUGGAUAUUUUAUUUAGUCUACCACAAUUUGUCAAUUAUUAUUAGUAUUUGGUUAGAUUAGCUAAUUCCGCUGGUCUGUAUGUAGACGUCUACCAACAAGGAGACAAGAAAUGCAGAAUAAAAUAAUUUAAAAAAAAGAUAAUGCUUGAGCACUACAACACAAAAUAUCCACAAAGAGAUUUAAAACUACCAAAAUGAGCACAGAAAUGGUAUUUUCUGCGGAUUUUAACCUCAUCUGUUGCUGUUCUUACAAAACAGGAGUUUUCCUGCCCGGUGUAGAAAGAGCAGAGGCAACACCAGGCUGCCCGGCAGAGACGACCACCAUGUCAACAACCACGCCGUACACUUCUCAGACUCAAGAUGCAGAUGGUUAAAUGAUGCACAGUAAACCGCAGUCCCCCCAGACCUCACCAACAGCACCCCCACUAUGACCAGGAUGGUGUAGAACGCUCUCUUCUCUGCUCGGUCGACCCGCUGUCCGGCCAGGAGACGAUGAUGAAGAUGAAGGCCAAAGAAUAAUAAUAAAUAAAAGAAAAUGUUGAUUGAAUUUGAUUCCACCACGUAUAGGGAACCUAUAUUUGCAAAGCAGUGCAGGCAAACGAAUCCGAUGGAGACGUUUCUGACUCUGAUCCACUUCUGGUUCUUCAGGCCCAGGUAGGUGACGGGGUGAACGACGGCCAGGUAGCGCUCCACACAGGUCAGAGAGUGAAACAGCUGCUGGCCGCACAUGUUCAUGCUAAAAAAGGUCAUACCCGCAAUCAUCAAUUCUAUGGGACCACCGACGACGGCACAGCUGCAUAAAAGGUUCCCUACGAUAUUCAUCAGCUCGAUGGCGACCAUGUGGAAGGUGAAGACGUCGGAGUGGCUCGCCGCCGUGCCGGAGCGCCGUUGUUUGAGUCCCAGGUAGACGACGUAGACGCAGGGAGGGAGGACCAGCAGGAGGCUGCAGACGGUGAAAGCGAUCAUGCUGGAGGCGCCGGCUGGACUUCUGUAGCAGUUCUGCAGGAAUUCAAUGACAUUGAUGGAGGAAGAGUUGGAAGGAGAAAACGAGGAAGAGGAAUUGACUGACAUGACUGGGGGCAAGAGUCAGGGACAGAGAGGAUAAGAGAGAAAGAUAAGACACAAUCUUAACAAAAGGUCCUUUUAAACGUCCUCAUCUUACGCACUCUUUAAGCUAAACACACUCUUCCAACAGGUAGAUUUAUUGAUCAAAAUCAUCACAACAUGAAGGUAGGUAUCUUCUACAGAAUUACCUUUCACAUUUGUUUUUGAUUGAACAAGAAUAUUAUUGACAGAUAUAACAUUCGUACUUUAAAAUCAGGUAAUGAAGCAUUUAAAAAAAACAAAUGAAGAACAAUAUCUUAUGAAGAGUGUAAACUAACCGCCAUUAUUCGUAACAGAUGUCACUCUAAUGAAUUAAACUGAUCGAAUUUCCACCAUGAAAAUACACCUACUUUCUUUGCAGUUUUUGAUUGUGAUCCUUCUGAUAUUCUGUCCGCUGUGUCUCUGGCCUGUGGACUGGUGGACUGUCGCCGGCUGCAGCGUAAAUGUGCGUCUGUGUGUGAAUGUUUUGCAUAUCACGUAACCCGAGAAUUGCUCCAACAGGGGGAGCUGCUUCUGAACCUCGGCCCUCAGAUUUACAGGUGCUGAUCCGCAUCCCGACUGCUUCACACUGGUCUGUGACCUCCAGUGAGAGUUGGAGAUGCCAUUAGGACCACACCAUCUGCAUAAAGCAGCGAUGAGAACGGUGAAGCCUCCCCCUCAUCCCCCCGACUACGCCCCAAUAUCCAUGUAAACCACAAACCGGACUAGUGACAAGGUGCCGGCCUGGCGAAGGCCGACGCCCACCGGAAACGACUCCGACUGACGGCUUCCUGUCUGUACUGGGUGUGCUGGGAUUGGACGGCCCCUUGGACUGGGUUUGGCAUGUUAGCAUGCUAACACUUACUAGCCUAAAAAAAUCUAGACUUCAUAAGUUUGAUGAAAGCAGCAUUUCAACACAUAUUAAACAGCAUGUUCACUUGGCAGGGCUGUUUAUUCAUUGAUUGGUUAUUCGGCAUAUGAUUCAUCAGAAUUACAUGAAAAUACACUUAAUUUGGAUAACAAACUCUCUGAUCGGUCCGUUGUGUGUCUGAGCUGGUGUGCUGUGUACAUUUGAAUCUGUGUGCGUGUGUGUUGCAUAUUUUGUAAGUAAAGCAUUGCUCAUUCACUUUGAAUUGCUUUGGAUGUGCAUCACCUCAGUAAUAAAUCCAGGGGACACACAAAAACAUGUCAGAGUCGUUAUUGCUUCAAUUUAUUUAGUCAUUUAAAAACACAUGUUACACAAGGAAGGAAUCAAUUAGUGUACAUAAAAGAUCUAAUCAGGUUUGUUAUAAGUUUCUUAAAUCAAAGUUUUUUAUCAAGAAACAUUUAUUGCCAUAAUAUGUCAGACAUACAAUAUAUAAACUGAAAGGUUUUGUGUCUCGAGAUGUUAAAUGCUUUAAAAUUAGAUCACUUCACAAGCUGGAGUUUUUUGCAUUUUGGAGACAGAUCAGCGACCAGCGAGAUAAAUAUGACGCAUUAAAACCAGAUGCACAUUGUGUGUUACUUUACUGUAAAUAUUUCUGUUUUUGGUGAAUGUGUUUGUGUGGAUGUUAAAAAGAGCUGUCAUGUAAGUGUGCGUCCCUUGUUAUUUGGGGAUCCAAACAGGCUGUAGACUAGUACAGUCUUCUGCUAGUAGAUUUGAAUUUUCUAUAUUUGAUCACAGUGACUAUUUAGUUAGUACGGCUGGGUUGUUGGAGUCAUUUUCUGGAGAGAGAGAAACAACACAAUGGCAUCUAUGCAAUGGGAUGAAACAUUCACUUCAAAAGCUACUGUGAGGAACAUUCCCCCGGAGGGACGGGAGGCUCACGAGGACCAGGACUUUGGGGAAGAGAAGACAGGUCUGGUAUGCAAACUGAGGACGUGCUACUCUGAUCCCUGUUCUGAUCCAUUUCCGUUCUUACAACAAAGCAGUUUCCCUGCCCGGUGCAGAUAGAGCAGAGGUAACACCAGACUGCCGGGCAAACCGAACCACACUCCCGCCAGCAACAAGUCACAGCGGACCUGCUCGCUCCACGUCAGGGAGUUGUAGGCUGACAGGACGAGCAGGUAUCCCCCGAACCGGAACAAAUGAGUUCCCAAUAUGGCCGUGAUGAUGUAAAAGGCCCUCAACUUGGACUGGUCCACCCUCUCCCGGCCGCCGGCCCCGUCCCCCGGCCCCGGACGAAUCAGGGCGCGGAGAACAGAGAGGCUGCAGAAAGAGAUGACGACUACGGAGGACACCGAGAGACAAAUGAAAAAGGCGGAGCUCAUAAACAUGUUUAGGCCAAACAACCCGAGAAAAAACAGCCAAACGCAUCCGACGGCAACAUUCCUGAUCCUGACCCCGCCCCUCUCCCUCAGCCGCAGGUAGGUGAUCGGAUAAACGACGGCCAGUCGGCGCUCCACGCAGGUGAGGAUGUGGAAGGGAACCUGCCCGUUGGUGGCGACUGAGAUGACGUACGCGCCGAUCCUCACCAACAACGUUGCGUCGGCCAAGGCGCCGCAGCAGUAGAGGGCGCACCCGAAGACGCAGAUCAUCUCCGUGGCGACCAAGUGGUAGGUGAAGACAUCACAGUGGCUGGCCGCCUUGGAGCCCUGUCGCCGCCAUCUUUGGACGCCCAGGUAGAAGACCAGGAGGCAGAGAGGGAGGAGGAGGAGGACGUCGGUGAAGCAGAAGGCAAUGAAGAUGAGGAAGCCGGAUCUGUAGUUGAAGCAGACUUCCAUGUUCGGGACGAGGGAGGAAUUGGAGGAGGAGACGUGCGGGUGAAGGUGAGAGGCGUUAAAUGGGGACGAGGAGUUCAGGGACAUGACUGUUGAUGAGGAGGUUCGAUGAGGAGAAGACAACAGGAGACAAUUAGGACCAAAUAGGAGAGCGAUGCAUUGUGACAUGAGAGAGGCUUUACACACGUGGCGCAUUAAUGUUGUUUUCUUUGCAAACUCAAACACAUCGAUUUAAAAAGCAGAUACUCACUUUUCAGCAGUGCGUCUUCUUGAGCUUCUAUCAGCUGGUUUCCGGACUGGACUGACGAUCUGCUUUGGCAGGUCUUUAUAUAUCUGUGGUUUGCGUGCGAGUGCGAUUCCAUCUGCGUUUUUCUUCUUUGUGUUUACGUGUGCGAUGAUGGAGAUUCUUUUGCAUGUGCCUUAAAGGUAUCAUAUUAAACUGUUGGAACUUUAUACUCUAAAUCUCAGAAGGGAAAUGUCCCGUUUGGCUGUGGGAUUGUAUGACAUUCAAAUGAGGAUCAUCUGAGACUUUGAUGACACACAAAGACACAAUAUACAUAUGAAAGCAGACCAUUUGAAAACAAAAGUUCCACUCUUUAACAUUUAGAAUAACUAUCACUUCAGUUUUGUUUCUUCUUUCUGCGGCUUCAUAGUUGUAUUUUGUUUUUCUGCUGUAACGUGUUUCUCAGGCGCGCUGGUGUUGCGACUGUCUCUUUAAGACCACCGGUCUGCUCUGAUUGGCUCCCUGAAAAACUAACUUGCCAGUGUUGGACUUGGAGGUGAGUUCAUCCUGUCUUGUCCACUUUAAGUACACAGCCAAUACAGAUAACCGUAAUAAGUACAACUAAUGAAUCAAAUAAAUUAGAUUUUUGCCACUGAAAACGAUAGAGGAUUACUUCCUAAUUAAUCAUUUACAGUCCACUAGAUGACAGCUUUAAUCAGAAAGUGCAUCCCAGCCCAACGAUGAGCUGAGCUUCUUUUAAAUGUGUCUAUAACACAAAGUUGUUAUGCCAGUAACAAACAAAAACACAUUCUAAUUGUUUUACCUGGACAAGAUAUUUAGACACAUGUAAUGAACAGUAUAAAAUAUAUGUUGAAAUAACAAUGUGAGGGAAGCCGGUACAGAGACCUUUUCAUAUGUUGGCCCACCAACAAACAACAAAGUGCUCGCUCGUAGCUCUACACAUCCUGCUCCUUGCAUUGUGUGACAAACAAAAAUUAGUAUCUGUUGUUGUGUAAUUUCUAUUUUCAUGCUACACGCCCAAAUCUGUUCAAUUCCAUUUUAACUUUGACAGUUUUAGCCCGUCAAAGUGUUUAAUUUUUUCCCAUUUAAAGUAAAGCAUAUAUUUCCCGGCUGAGAAUUAACGCACCACAAUCAUUUAAAUGAGCUGUCCGGGGUGCUGAAACCCUGAACCUCUUCAUCCGGGUACCCACACCACGUCAGACGAUGCUGGCGUAUCGCCCCGUCUCGUUUUGACACACACACACACACACACACACACACACACACACACACACACACACACACACACACACACACACACACACACACACACACACACACACACACACACACACAUUCACACGCACACAUACACACUCACACACACAUACACGCACACGCACACACAUAUAUACACGCACGCAAUAGGGAACAGCGCUGCGGAAUGUCUCGUGCGCCGAAAAGAGGCUCGCGGGUGGCGGAAAGCAACGUGCUGACGUAAAAGGAAACGUGACGCUCACUCCGAAGAUCGUCUGUGAUGGACGAAGAAGACAGAGUUUAAGCUCCUCCUUUCCCCCCGUGCGUUGAAACACCGUGAGAGUGGAUAACUCUCACGGUGUUAAUUAAUUGUAUAUUAUUAAUCCAUUAUAUUAUUAAUUUGUCUAAUAAUUUACUUCUUCCUCCUUUAAUUAUUGUAUAUUUUAAAAAACAUAUACAUAUAUAAACAAUAGCAUUAUUCAUAUUAUGUUUAUGGUUUUCUUUGGUUUGCGUGUUUUCUAUGUAAUUAUUUAUACCUUUACAUUAUUACCUCCUGCCUGUGCCUGAAAUAUGUAUUUAAUGUUGUCAAUCUGGAGGCUGCAGGGUUUGUUUACUGCCGUGUGAUCCAUCUCAGCAUGAGACGAUCUUUGUAUCUCUCUCUCUCUCUCUCUCUCUCUCUCUCUCUC